CUUUACUGUAGCCUGGUAUUGGGUUCGGGCUUUGACUGCGCAGGAUAGGUGGGAGACUGAGAAGUGUGCCUUGUGGGGCACAUAGAGUCAACGGUGAGAUACCACUCUGUCAGAGCUAGAAUUCUGACCUUCACCCGUGAUCCGGGGAAGGAACUGUAUCAGGUGGGCAGUUUGACUGGGGCGGUCGCCUCCUAAAAGGUAACGGAGGCGCGCAAAGGUGUUCUCAGGCUGGUUGGAAAUCAGCCGUAGAGUGUAAAGGCAGAAGAACGCUUGACUGUGAGAGUGACAACUCAAGCAGGGUGGAAACACGGCCUUAGCGAUCCGACGGUAUGCGCGUGGAAGUGCCGUCGCUCAACGGAUAAAAGUUA
RNAcentral lists this ribosomal RNA (368 nucleotides) under uncultured organism. RNAcentral describes it as "bacterial LSU rRNA". It matches the Rfam family "Bacterial large subunit ribosomal RNA", at positions 2099 to 2465 of the family's 2925-position model. The record is from RNAcentral.